CUUCCACGAAGGCUUAGAGAAGCAGCGGGCAUUAUGGGAAGGCAGGGGCUUUGGCUGUGUGAUAUCUGUUCUCUGCUCAACUUCCUCCUCUCCUGGUCUCAGAAUGGCCUUGUUUGUGAGACCAGUGGCUUUCAACCUGGCUGCACAAAGGGCCUUACCUGAGGAGCCUUUAAGAAAUACGGAUUCCACUGGAUUCCAGACACUGCCAUUUUCCCCUUUAAAGCCUUCAAUGAAUGAUUGUAAUGUGCAGCCAGGGCUGGGGCCCACUGGUUUGGGUGGUUCCCAAGGUCUCUGACUCUGUGGCUCAUUAAUUCCUCCUUGAACAUUCCUGGCUUCUUAGCAAACACCUCCAGGGAGCUGUCAAUUUGCAGGCCAUGGGCCCCAGAAGUUUCUAUACUAGGAGCCCACCUGGGCAGGGGCAGGCAGGACCUCAGGGUACAUCUGGUCCAGUUUGGUUUUAGAUAUGGUAAAAGUGCAGAAGAUUUUUCUUUCGUAGCUCACACAGGAGGUGCUUUGUAAAUAAAAAGUAUUGACAAUGUGGGAAACGACUCUUGUUACAGAUGGGACGGUUGAGGAUGAAGAACAACUUGCAGCCAGAAUUACAGCUCCUUUCUGUCUCCCCAGUUAGACUGUAACCCCCUUAUGAACAGGAAGCAGGGCUUUUUAAAAACUGUUCUGUUCUGUUUUAUCCUCUUGACUUAGCAAUAAGUGACCAUGUGGAUGGAUGGAUGGAUGGAUGGAUGGAUGGAUGGAUGGGGUCUUCUACCAGGUAUGUUUUCCUUCCUUAUUUUGAGUACUUGUCACUAGAUUCAGCUGUGGAUAACCUCGCUGUCAUCACCCCUGACACCAAAUGUGAAUAAUGGAGGGGCAGGGCUGAGGGAGGCAGUGGGGUAUUGAGAGAACCUGUUAGCCUUGGUGCUCAGGAGAGGGUCAUUAAUAAAGAGUAAGCAGCGGAGGCUGGUCCUGACAGGCCUCCUGUGAGCGGUGGGCCGGACUCCACGCCUAUGGUACCGUGCCAGAAGUUCACAGUUCCCUAUGUCCCAUCACAGACAGUAUCUAGGAAGGUCACGUCCUCAAAGGACCUCUUACCGAAAAGGUCAUUUCUAUCAAAAGAAGAAUGUGAACCUGAAGGCAUCAGGUGAGAGAAGAGGGACUCAGUGCUGGGUGAGGACAGGAGUUGGCACCCACGUCUCUUAUCUGUACAGCUCUAACAAACUCUUCGUUCUGCGAAGUACCCAAUACUCAACCAGCCAUUGAUUCUCUGAGCUCCCUCUAAGCUCAAAGGUUAAGACAAGACCUGUCUUCCAGGAACUCAGUGCCAUGGAGGAGAAGCUGCCAGGAAAAGAGUCAAGGCUGGUGAACCACUAGGAGGAAGUGUUUAGAAGGGCAGGGACACUGGAGGGCCCCACGGAGGCUCAGUGGGAACUCUUCAGGCACCCAGGCAUCUGCAUGCCUUCUUAAAUGCUCAGGGGAAUCGGUGGUGAGGACAGGUUUGGGAUGGAGAUCCUUUGGGUGGUGAAGGCAUUCCAGCGGGCACUGCAUGUGUAAGGGAGGUGAUCGACAUGGGAAACACACAGUCCAAUGUGUGUAGAAACCAGCUUAUUUGGGGAAAGAAGGAGAUGCAACAAGAGCAGGAGGAUGGAAUCGAAGGCCUUUUCGUUAGAAUGGUUGACAAUAAUUCCCCCAGGAAGCAGUAAUCCAUUUCAGUCCUCCUCACUCGGUGCUGAUUUGCCCAAGUUGCAGGGAGAUCUGGUGCCGAUUACCAGGUCUCGGUGCAUUAGGUAAUGAAACAAUAAAAUCUCGGUCACUGCAGCACAAAGUCCCCUUUAUUUUGACAAGUGUAGUUUUUGCUCUGAAGUGUUAUCAUAAAUAAUUAAAUUAAACCAGUAAAUGACUUGUAGUAUGCUUUGCUGAAGUAACAAAGUCUCUGUAACCCCAGACACCGAGCCACUCCUUUGGGGCAUUCUUGGCUCAGAAACAUUUGAGAAUGUUUCAGAAUUCAAGAAUAUUUGAACUAGCCAAGGGCAGAAGGCUCAUUCCAUUCCAUCCUGCUGCCCCCUAUCCCCCUGGGGUUCCCCCAUUCUGCUGCACCCCAUCCCAUCUACUUUGGGGGUGCCGGGGGUUGAACCCAUGGCUUUGCACAUGCUAGGCAAGUGCUCUAUUGAGCUGCACCCCCUAUCUUUGGACCCGCAGCAACGUGAAUCAGCAGUGGAUUGCUGCUCAGCCCUGGGCUGGCCUGGGGUAGAGAGUCUUGGGGUCCCAGUGCACAUACUUGGCAGUCUUUUCUUGAAACACCUGCUUAGGCACCAGGGCAUUCAUAAGUAGGCUCUUCCAGGCUUGGGGUGAAGGGCUCUGACUGUCAGGCACCCUCCACCUGCUACUUCCGUCAUUCUGUAGACAAGGAAACUGAGGUGCAGAGAAGCGAGGUGGCUUGACCUAUUUCUUGACUGAUGGAGAGGAAAGAACUCCAGGUGGGGUAUGAGUGGAGAAGUCUCGGAGACCCAAAGGGACAAGGUGCUGGGUGUACAGGGGCUGCAGGUUAGCAGAGGAGAAGGGUGAGGAGGGAGGAAGGAAAAAGUAUGGUAAGAAGCAGGAGUGAGGGUAGCCUAGAACCCAGUUCUCAGGAGGAAACACUGAAGAACUAUCUGUAGAGCCCUCAGCCAGCCAGGCCUCCAGCCCCGCAGGAGGACAGCUAUUGAACUAAGUGAGAGAAAAGGGAGAUCUUUGCUGUGGAGAAGAAACAAAGAUGCUAGAGAGAAAGCCCAGGGGCACAGCAUGCUGGCUAAAAGCAGGGAGAUUUCGCCCCUCCUGCAGGCGAGCUGGACAGCCUUCUGCCUCCUCUCCCGUGGCCUCCUUCGCUUGGUCAUUGCCUUGCCAGCUACCUUCCCAAGCAUCUGCUUCCCUCAUCUUUGUUAGGGCUCUCAGACAAGGUGGCAGCUGGAGGCCAUACUGCAGAGGGGCAGUACCCUGGCCUCAGAACUCUGAGCAGGAAUGACUCCGUUCUUAGAAACUGACCUCACAGCAAGAGUUCCAGGCCCUAGGCGGGGCCUCAGUGCUGAACCAGCCCUGGGGAGACAGUAAUCACAGAAUCCUAGACAGAGAAGCCUCUAGAACUCGGACGAGCCCAUCAGAGCGAGGGCACUCCUUGGGCUGGCUGUUUUCUGUAGUACCGUGAGUGGAAAGGAAAAUAUGUUUUUCUAACUCCAUGGAACUCUGGACUGUGUAAACAAUAGAGACAGAGCUUGGAACAAAAAUCACCUAUAGGGUAGACAGCAGCACCAGAAAUCCCUAUGGGGAAGAGGCCAAGGCUGUGCUGGCCUGAGGAGACGUUUGACAGACAGCACUCAGCUCAGAAGCCAGUGAACUGCAGUGGGGUGGGCUUUGGCCCCAGCACCAUUGGCCGUCAUGGCUACUGCUUCUCCGGACACCCCAGCAUCCCUCACAAGGGGCACAGACCAAGGAGGGGAAGUGAGCACAGCUCCCCCCGGAACCCCCGGCAGACCUGUGCCCCUGGGAAGCUGUCAGCAAAUAUUAACUACCUACUACGUGCUGGGCACCAGAAACGCGCCGUGUGCCAAGUCAGUUGUUGGAGACGGAAAAAUAAUGGAAUCUCCAUUCAAGGAUCACAUCAACGGGCAGUCUUCACCUCAGCCCCAUCCACGGAUCUUUCUCCACCUCCUCUCAUCAUCUGCCCAGCCCCAUUCCAGAUCAGCUGCCCCAGGAGAAGUUUGAUGCGGCAGCUGCCUGUGACUCUUGAACACUUACAGCCCGUCUGAAAUAAGAUUUGGAAGAUUCGGCUUGAAAAGGAGUCAUAUAAAAAUACUUUAUUAAUAGUUUUAUAUUGAUUACAUGUGGAAAUGAUAAUA
Long non-coding RNA from Fukomys damarensis (Damara mole-rat), 3866 nucleotides. RefSeq lists it as uncharacterized. The transcript has 3 exons. NCBI's taxonomy places the organism in Eukaryota, Metazoa, Chordata, Mammalia, Rodentia, Bathyergidae. The record is from RefSeq and is a predicted model, not a curated record.